UCGAGAAUUUUUCUCAAUGGGCGAAAGCCUGAAGGAGCGACGCCGCGUGAAGGAUGAAGGUCUUCGGAUUGUAAACUUCUGUCAUUAAGGAACAAACCUUCCGUCUAACUAACGGAAGACUGAUAGUACUUGAAGAGGAAGGGACGGCUAACUCUGUGCCAGCAGCCGCGGUAAUACAGAGGUCUCAACCGUUGUUCGGAUUUAUUGGGCGUAAAGGGUGCGUAGGUGGUCGUGUAAGUCGGGUGUGAAAUCCUAGGGCUCAACCCUGGAACUGCACUCGAUACUGCAUGGCUUGAGCGCUGGAAAGGAGACUGGAAUUUACGGUGUAGCAGUGAAAUGCGUAGAUAUCGUAAGGAAGACCAGUGGCGAAAGCGAGUCUCUGGACAGAUGCUGACACUGAGGCACGAAGGCCAGGGGAGCAAACGGG
RNAcentral lists this ribosomal RNA (427 nucleotides) under uncultured bacterium. Its description in RNAcentral is "bacterial SSU rRNA". It matches the Rfam family "Bacterial small subunit ribosomal RNA", at positions 355 to 776 of the family's 1533-position model. The record is from RNAcentral.